CUCCCAAGUGGGGUCAUCAUGUGAGGCCCCCUCCCAAUUGAUCAAGACCUGGAUACGAUCCCCUCAAGAGUAAUAACUGAGCAACGAUCCAGAAUUUUCUAAUGGAUGUGGUUACAAAGAGGAUGGUAAUUCAGGCGACGAUGGGGUAGUGGUAGGUGAUUUUUUCAGAAACGACUUUAGCUCUAAAACAAGGAAGACCGAAUAUAGGGCAUAAGAAGGUGGCAAGUUUAAACGGUAUACAACUUCACCAAUUCUAUAUGUAAUUGGGAGGGAUUAUAGUAGCGUUUUUGAAACUUAUUGUAGGACUUGUGAGUGAGUGAUUGUUGCUUGUACAGUUUGAUCUUUGACAACACUCAAUUCCCAAUCUAAAAGUGUUUCUUGCGUUGGUGUAAAUCUGCUUGUUUCUUCAU
RNAcentral lists this long non-coding RNA (410 nucleotides) under Arachis ipaensis. Its description in RNAcentral is "long non-coding RNA (AIPA_LNC000301)". Lineage: Eukaryota; Viridiplantae; Streptophyta; Magnoliopsida; Fabales; Fabaceae. The record is from RNAcentral.